GAUGAACGCUGGCGGCGUGCCUAAUACAUGCAAGUCGAGCGAACAGACGAGGAGCUUGCUCCUCUGACGUUAGCCGCGGACGGGUGAGUAACACGUGGAUAACCUACCUAUAAGACUGGGAUAACUUCGGGAAACCGGAGCUAAUACCGGAUAACAUGUUGAACCGCAUGGUUCAACAGUGAAAGACGGUCUUGCUGUCACUUAUAGAUGGAUCCGCGCCGCAUUAGCUAGUUGGUAAGGUAACGGCUUACCAAGGCAACGAUGCGUAGCCGACCUGAGAGGGUGAUCGGCCACACUGGAACUGAGACACGGUCCAGACUCCUACGGGAGGCAGCAGUAGGGAAUCUUCCGCAAUGGGCGAAAGCCUGACGGAGCAACGCCGUGUGAGUGAAGAAGGUCUUCGGAUCGUAAAACUCUGUUAUUAGGGAAGAACAAAUGUGUAAGUAACUAUGCACGUCUUGACGGUACCUAAUCAGAAAGCCACGGCUAACUACGUG
This 497-nucleotide ribosomal RNA is filed under the name uncultured bacterium. RNAcentral's name for it is "partial 16S ribosomal RNA". It matches the Rfam family "Bacterial small subunit ribosomal RNA", at positions 28 to 507 of the family's 1533-position model. The record is from RNAcentral.